UUCCAUCUGAAGAGUCCCAAAUAGGACGAAACGCGUGUCCUGGAU
This 45-nucleotide non-coding RNA is filed under the name Schistosoma mansoni. The record is from RNAcentral. Lineage: Eukaryota; Metazoa; Platyhelminthes; Trematoda; Strigeidida; Schistosomatidae.